CCCUUAGAUGUUCUGGGCCGCACGCGCGCUACACUGUUCGACGCAGCGAGUCUUAACCUUGACCGAAAGGUUUGGGUAAUCUUCAGCAAAGUCGAACGUGAUGGGGAUCGAUCAUUGCAACUAUUGAUCGUGAACGAGGAAUUCCUAGUAAGUGCAAGUCAUCAGCUUGCGCUGAUUACGUCCCUGCCCUUUGUACACACCGCCCGUCGCUACUACCGAUUGAAUGGUUUAGUGAGAUCUCUGGAUUGACGCUGGCUAGGGGGCGACCCUUGGCCAGACUGUUGAGAAACUGCUCAAACUUGAUCAUUUAGAGGAAGUAAAAGUCGUAACA
Molecule: ribosomal RNA, 331 nt
Filed under: uncultured eukaryote
Lineage: Eukaryota
Description: partial 18S ribosomal RNA
Rfam family: Eukaryotic small subunit ribosomal RNA
Source: RNAcentral